UCGACGAGGGUCCUUCGGGACUCGAGUGGCGAACGGGUGAGUAACACGUAGGGAACCUGCCCGUGCGACCGGGAGAACUUUCGGAAACGGAAGCUGAUACCGGAUAGGGACAGAGACGGCAUCGACUCUGUGUUAAAGGAGCUGAAAGGCUCCGCGCACGGAUGGACCUGCGGUGCAUUAGCUGGUUGGUGAGGUAACGGCCCACCAAGGCGACGAUGCAUAGCCGGCCUGAGAGGGCGGACGGCCACACUGGGACUGAGACACGGCCCAGACUCCUACGGGAGGCAGCAGUAGGGAAUUUUCGUCAAUGGGCGCAAGCCUGAACGAGCAAUGCCGCGUGAACGAGGAAGGUCUUCGGAUCGUAAAGUUCUGUUGAAGGGGAAAAAGAGCGGAGAGAGGAAAUGGUCUCCGAUUGAUAUUACCCUUCGAGGAAGUCACGGCUAACUACGUGCCAGCAGCCGCGGUAAUACGUAGGUGGCGAGCGUUAUCCGGAAUGAUUGGGCGUAAAGGGUGCGUAGGCGGCCUGCUAAGUCUGGAGUGAAAGGUACCGGCUCAACCGGUACAGGCUCUGGAAACUGGCGGGCUAGAGAGCAGGAGAGGGCGGUGGAACUCCAUGUGUAGCGGUAAAAUGCGUAGAUAUAUGGAAGAACACCAGUGGCGAAGGCGGCCGCCUGGCCUGUUACUGACGCUGAGGCACGAAAGCGUGGGGAGCAAAUAGGAUUAGAUACCCUAGUAGUCCACGCCGUAAACGAUGAGGACCAAGUGUUGGGGAAGACCCAGUGCUGCAGUUAACGCA
RNAcentral lists this ribosomal RNA (796 nucleotides) under uncultured bacterium. Its description in RNAcentral is "bacterial SSU rRNA". It matches the Rfam family "Bacterial small subunit ribosomal RNA", at positions 62 to 859 of the family's 1533-position model. The record is from RNAcentral.